Molecule: RNA transcript, 994 nt
Organism: Perca flavescens (yellow perch)
Lineage: Eukaryota; Metazoa; Chordata; Actinopteri; Perciformes; Percidae
Gene name: galactose-specific lectin nattectin-like
Exons: 6
Source: RefSeq, a predicted model, not a curated record
AUGGCAUCAGGCUUUCCGUUUGUCCAUCGGACUGUUGGCUCCAUCUUGUUAUGGACAAACACCCGACCCAGAGCUUCUUGAGAGUUCCUGCUCUCCUGGUUGGACUCUGUUUGGCUCUCGCUGUUUCAGUUUCAACUUCCAGGGAAAGACUUGGGUCGAUGCAGAGCACUUCUGCAAGGCCACCGGUGGGAAUCUGGCUUCAGUCCACUCAGAAGAGGAACAUGAAUUCCUCAGAACCUUCAUUCACCAAGUGAGCGGUGAAAACAGACGGACCUGGAUUGGAGGCUUUGACUCAGUGCAGCCGGGCGUGUGGAUGUGGUCUGAUGGAUCCCCAUUCGACUACAAAAGCUGGGCUCCGGGGGAGCCUAACAACGGAGGUGGAACUGAGCACUGUCUUGAGAUUAACUAUAAGGAUAAAUGGAACGACAACGAGUGCAACAAGAUAUUUCCUUUCCUGUGCUCCAAGAAGCUGUGAGGCCUCCCACCAUCAUGAUCUCACUACAGAUCAUCUAUAAUCUCUUUCAUUGAUUCACUUUCAGUUUGUUGUGCAGACAGAAACAGCUGUCUGCUGACAGACUCACUUUCACUUGUUUAUUAUCUGAAGAGUUAGGAAACGGUUCACAUUUGAGUUUUAACAGAAGGAAACUGACUCUCUGAGCUAGACAAAAACAUAAUCAGUUAUUGGACUUUUAAUCUAUAAAUAACACAAAAUGAAAUACAGAAAACAUUCAAAUACUCUUGACAUCUUUUCCAUUUUAGUUUACUGAAUUUUGUCUGUCAGCUCUGUCUAAAGGUAACCACAUCCACCUCCCAGACAUGAGUGGUGACGAUCUUCUCUUCAAAAAUGUCCAAAUAGAAAAUAAAAGUCCAAUUGUUGUCUGAACAUUCUGUGAUACAAGAGGAGUUUCUGGUGUGUUGGGUUCUUUAUUCAUCCGUUUUCCUUCACUUUAUAAUCAAUAAGCAUUAAAAAAUAAAAGACAUAUUGUCACAAACA